Gallus gallus (chicken) is the source of this 1812-nucleotide long non-coding RNA. The record is from Ensembl. Lineage: Eukaryota; Metazoa; Chordata; Aves; Galliformes; Phasianidae.
UGACAGAGAGAUUUCCUGGGCCUCUCUCUCACUGCAGUAUGUAUUACAGGUGCUAAAAGUAUUACGUAUAUUUUUUAUUUGAAAGGUCUGUUUUCUAUUACCAUGCCUACAACAGAAAUGGUACAUCUGGUUUAAGGUCCUUGUGAUGUCUGAUUAUUCUGCUGUCUGAGAGGGUAACCACCACUACUCAGUUUUCUGUUACCUCUUCUGCAUGCAGCCAUGGCACUGUAGCACAGGACUGACAGUGUGUGACCUUAUGGUAUUCCCAGUCUGACCUUGUCAUGCGACCACCAUUACUAUGGUUGCUUGGCUACAAAAUAAGAAAGAUGAGAAUCAGAACUGAUAUGCUGAUGUUUCUUCCACUAUACUGGACACACAGCCUCUGGCAGAGGGGUAUGGAGUUGAGUGGAAUAGGUCUUCAGGCUUACUGAAGUCAAGUCCUACUACUGCCUCUUGCCACUCCUUGGCUGGCGAAGAACUUGGCUGUCUUGCAGACUGUGAGAUUUCUCUUACAGCAAAUAAAAUCAUUAGGCUGAAUUGAUAAAUUUUGUUUCCUUCCCUAUCUUUAUAGUCAGAAUAAGUCUUAUUUUCACAGUGCUAUAAAGGACAAAUGCUACGCACUGGGAACAGAACUGAUACUUCCAAGGCUUGUACAGAAGAUUGACUUUCAAGGCUAGUCUCUUUUCCUGUAGAAAAUAUUUUCUAUUGUACGGUAAAUCACACAUGAAUAUGUAGUUUGACAGUAACAGAAAUGCUGAUACUCCUUUGGUUUCAUUUAAAAAAGCUGUCAGUCAUCUCUCAGAAUCAGAGUCACAGAGGCUGGAAGAGAUCUGGAGGUCUGACACCCCCAGCUCAAGCACACUGUUCAGGACUGUAACCAGAUGGUAUCUCUAAGAUAUCUCUGGAUAUCUCUAAGAAAGGGACUCCGCGACAUCUCUCUGGGUAACCUGUGUCAGUGCUCAGUCACCUGCACAGUGAGAAUGUGUUUCCUGAUGUUUACAGGAAACUCCUGCCUUUCGGUUUGUGUUCAUUGUCACUUACCCUGUCACUGGGCACCACUGAAAAGAACCUGACCCUGUCCUCUUUGCAUAGUCCCUUCAGAUGUACUUAGCUACACUAAGAUGCCCCCAGAGCCUCCUCUUCUACAGGCUCCAGCUUUCUCAGUCUUUCCUCAUAGGAGAGGCACCCCACUCCCUCCUUCAUCUUUCUGGCCCUUUGUUGGACUCUCUUCAGUGUGUCUUUGUCUCCCUUGUACUGAGGCACCCAAAACUGGACACAGUACUUCAGCUCAGGCAAAACCAGUGCUGAAAAGAGGGGAAGGAUCAUCUCUCUUGACCCUCUGGCAAUACUUUGCCUAAUGCAGCCCAGGAUACCAAUGGCCUUCUUUGCAGCAAGUGCACAUUGCUCAGCAUGGUGUCCACCAGGACCCCCAGAUCCUUUUCUGCCAAGCUCCUUUCCAGCCAGGCAGCCCUCAGUGUGUUUGGAUUUGUUCUUGCCCAGAGACUGGGCUUCAAACUUGUCUUUGAAGAGCUUUAUAAGAUUCCUGUCAGCCUGUUUCUCCAGCCUGUCAAGGUCCCUCUGGAUGAAAGUUUGUCUGCCGUUCUUAAGAGGAGCAACUUCAAGAUAUGAUUGAUUAAAAAAAAAACAAACAAAAAACAACAACAACAAAAAAAAAACCAGUUCCAAAGGAUAAAUAAUUUUCCCUUCAGAAUAAAACAGAUUAGAGCAAAUGAUGUGUUUUGAAAGCAGUUUCCUCAAUCACAUAGAGCACGGAAGGAAGACUGGAGGAGUAAAGACACCAGCCAUUUGGAG